RNAcentral lists this long non-coding RNA (231 nucleotides) under Elaeis guineensis (African oil palm). RNAcentral's name for it is "long non-coding RNA (EGUI_LNC046096)". The record is from RNAcentral. Lineage: Eukaryota; Viridiplantae; Streptophyta; Magnoliopsida; Arecales; Arecaceae.
GGCAACCACACAUUUAUGGACAAAAUCUCAAUUAAUAUUUGCAGCCUCAAUGCAAUAAAAUUCUAUCCAUAUGACUUAGUUCAGUUAAAGCUUUGACCCAUAGCAGACUUAUUUAAAAUUAGGGUAAAAUAUUUUGACCCACACUCGACCAAAAUUGCAAAAUCCUAACAUAAACCUAGCACAAACAAGGCAGGAUGAGUGACAAAUUUUCCCACCUCUGAAGCCCAAGCU